This 201-nucleotide unclassified non-coding RNA is filed under the name Hevea brasiliensis (rubber tree). The record is from RNAcentral. Lineage: Eukaryota; Viridiplantae; Streptophyta; Magnoliopsida; Malpighiales; Euphorbiaceae.
GUUGUCAUGUUUUUCCUCUCAAGAGUCAAUCUGACUAAUCUUCAGAGCUAAAUUGGAUUAGAUUGAUUCCUAUUUUAAAAUUAUAAUUUGAAUAUUCAAAAACUACACGAAAGUACUAUAAAUUACAAUUCUUUUAAUAUCAAUAUGAUGAAAAAUAUAGAUUAAAAACAUCAGUCAAAGUUAAUCUAGUUUGACUCUCGA